Molecule: ribosomal RNA, 399 nt
Filed under: Blastobotrys sp.
Lineage: Eukaryota; Fungi; Ascomycota; Dipodascomycetes; Dipodascales; Trichomonascaceae
Description: partial small subunit ribosomal RNA
Rfam family: Bacterial small subunit ribosomal RNA
Source: RNAcentral
GCAGUCGCGGUAAAACGUAAAGGACAAGUAAUACACAUAAUAGGUAUAAAGAGUUAGCAAUACUGAUCAAUAUUGUUUAUAUAAUAAAAUAUAAACAGAUCUAGAAUCUAUAAGUGAGUUAUUAUGAGGUAUAUGAGUAACGGUUAAAUGUUGAAAUACAUAUAUAACAACCAAUUAAGAAGUGAUAUAACUAAUACAUAGAUUGACGUUGAGUAACGAAACUUAGAGUAUCGAAUAGGACUAGUCAACCUAUUAGUUCUAAGCGUAAACGAUGUAUACUAAUAUUUAUAUUAAUAAUAAUAUGGAUAUAAAGCUAAUGCGUAAGUAUAUCACCAGGGGAGUACUUAUUAAUCGAAGAAACCCAAAACAAUAGACGGUUUGAGUGUUAACAGUGGAUUA